ACGGCUCAGUAACACGUAGUCAACAUGCCCAGGGGACGUGGAUAACCUCGGGAAACUGAGGAUAAACCGCGAUAGGCCAAGAUUUCUGGAAUGAGUCAUGGUUCAAAUCUAUAUGGCCCCUGGAUUGGACUGCGGCCGAUCAGGCUGUUGGUGAGCUAAUGGCCCACCAGACCUGUAACCGGUACGGGCUCUGAGAGGAGGAGCCCGGAGAUGGGCACUUAGACAAGGGCCCAGGCCCUAUGGGGCGCAGCAGGCGCGAAACCUCUGCAAUAAGCGAAAGCUUGACAGGGUUACUCUGAGUGAUUUCCGCUAAGGAAGUCUUUUGGCACCUCUAAAAAUGGUGCAGAAUAAGGGGUGGGCAAGUCUGGUGUCAGCCGCCGCGGUAAUACCAGCACCCCGAGUGGUCGGGACGAUUAUUGGGCCUAAAGCAUCCGUAGCCGGUCCUGCAAGUCCUCCGUUAAAUCCACCCGCUCAACGGUUGGGCCGCGGGGGAUACUACAGGGCUAGGAGGCGGGAGAGGCAAGCGGUACUCGAUGGGUAGGGGUAAAAUCCACUGAUCCAUUGAAGACCACCAGUGGCGAAGGCGGCUUGCCAGAACGCGCUCGACGGUGAGGGAUGAAAGCUGGGGGAGCAAACCGGAUUAGAUACCCAGGUAGUCCCAGCUGUAAACGAUGCAGACUCGGUGAUGGGCUGGCUUCGUGCCAACCCGGUGCCGCAGGGAAGCCGUUAAGUCUGCCGCCUGGGGAGUACGGUCGCAAGACUGAAACUUAAAGGAAUUGGCGGGGGAGCA
Molecule: ribosomal RNA, 790 nt
Filed under: uncultured archaeon
Lineage: Archaea
Description: bacterial SSU rRNA
Rfam family: Archaeal small subunit ribosomal RNA
Source: RNAcentral